UUGGAGGCAGAAUGACCAUAUUUUACAGACUGGUUUGCGCCUUCGUGCCCUCAUGCCUUUACUCAGACCAUUCUCGCUCCUGGAAAUGCACUCUGGAAGUGAAGGCUGACAACAUCCUGCUGAACUUUCAGGGCUCAGUUCAGGGUUUUCCUUCGGAGUACCGGAAGCAGAAGCACUUCCUUCCACCACUCUCCUGCAACAUGCUGUAUCUACUUCUUUAAUAGGACUUAACACUCCACUGUAUUUGCACUUAACACUUUGUCGUUGCAUGUCUGUCUUCCCAGAAAACUGAAUUUUUUAAAAGCAGAAACCCAUAUUGUUUACCUUUAUGUUUCCCUAAUAGUAUCUGGCCUGCAAUAGCCCAUGUUUGUGGAAUAAACAACUUACCUUGUGACCUUGCCAGCCUGUCACAGCUCUCUCUCAGGAAGUGAGUAACACCAAACCACUGAUAUAACGGACAAAACUUCUCCUGGACAGAGAGCUGCUCAUCUGGGCAGGGACCGCCAGGAGAGCACCGGCCUACUGCAGGGUCACCCCCCUCGCCCAUGAAGCCAUGCCAAAGACCUGCCUCCUCUUCUUCCUCACCAUCUUCUGCACAGGGGUCUCAUUGGAUAUAAUUUUGGAACCAGAUACCAAAGCACUGACUGUCCUCAUUGGGGAGGCUGCUACCUUCCGUUGCAGCGUAACAGGAGGGGACCUGAAGAACUAUCAAAUAAGCUGGUAUAAGAAGAGUGAAGAUAACUCUCUGAUUUUGGUCUCCAAACUAAGCAACAAUUCUAAUGACAAUUUAGGGAAUAAUUUCAAGGUGAAAAUUGAUACUUUAAAAAGUCAAUUUAUGCUUGACAUUCAAAAAGCAACAACACAAGAUGUUGGGACUUACUACUGUGCGUCUGAUAUCCACAGUGCUGCAGCUCCGUUUCUGACCUCUUCAGAAACCCUAGGGCCAAACUGAGGCGGCAGAUCCAAUUCGAGACCACCCCGGGCUAAAAUGUGCACCACACCUGAGAUGAAGCUGCCUGAUCACUUCAACAGUAACAUCUGAUAAAAGAGGCCAGGAGUUGAAGUGGGGGCAAGGGGCUUAUCUUUGCGGUUGGUUUAGA
Molecule: non-coding RNA, 1100 nt
Organism: Piliocolobus tephrosceles (Ugandan red Colobus)
Lineage: Eukaryota; Metazoa; Chordata; Mammalia; Primates; Cercopithecidae
Source: the annotation of a RefSeq genome assembly